AUUGAACGCUGGCGGCAGGCCUAACACAUGCAAGUCGAGCGGAUGAAGGGAGCUUGCUCCUGGAUUCAGCGGCGGACGGGUGAGUAAUGCCUAGGAAUCUGCCUGGUAGUGGGGGAUAACGUCCGGAAACGGGCGCUAAUACCGCAUACGUCCUGAGGGAGAAAGUGGGGGAUCUUCGGACCUCACGCUAUCAGAUGAGCCUAGGUCGGAUUAGCUAGUUGGUGGGGUAAAGGCCUACCAAGGCGACGAUCCGUAACUGGUCGGAGAGGAUGAUCAGUCACACGGGAACCGAGACACGGUCCAGACUCCUACGGGAGGCAGCAGUGGGGAAUAUUGGACAAUGGGCGAAAGCCUGAUCCAGCCAUGCCGCGUGUGUGAAGAAGGUCUUCGGAUUGUAAAGCACUUUAAGUUGGGAGGAAGGGCAGUAAGUUAAUACCUUGCUGUUUUGACGUUACCAACAGAAUAAGCACCGGCUAACUUCGUG
Molecule: ribosomal RNA, 484 nt
Filed under: uncultured bacterium
Lineage: Bacteria
Description: partial 16S ribosomal RNA
Rfam family: Bacterial small subunit ribosomal RNA
Source: RNAcentral